CUUUCUUUGGAGAAGACUGAAGUUAAAGAAACAUUGUUUUGCAUGUGUAUACGUACUAAUUCUACUAUUUUAAAAUCAUUGGUCACUCCUGGAAUGUCACGCUUUAUAGAAUACCCAGUAUAUAACCCAGUUAGAGUAAAAUGUGCAUUCUGACACACAAACUCCAUACAUUUAAGAUCACAGGUCACAGAAUUGGCCUCUAUUGGAUUUAGAAAAGAGG
This is a non-coding RNA of Pelobates cultripes (western spadefoot toad), 220 nucleotides long. The record is from the annotation of a GenBank genome assembly. NCBI's taxonomy places the organism in Eukaryota, Metazoa, Chordata, Amphibia, Anura, Pelobatidae.